GACGAACGCUGGCGGCGUGCUUAACACAUGCAAGUCGAGCGGAAAGGCCCUUCGGGGUACGUCGAGCGGCGAACGGGUGAGUAACACGUGAGUAACCUGCCCUUGGCUCUGGGAUAAGCCCGGGAAACUGGGUCUAAUACCGGAUAUGACCAUCAGAUGCAUGUCUUGGUGGUGGAAAGAUUUUUCGGCUGGGGAUGGGCUCGCGGUCUAUCAGCUUGUUGGUGGGGUGAUGGCCUACCAAGGCGACGACGGGUAGCCGGCCUGAGAGGGUGACCGGCCACACUGGGACUGAGACACGGCCCAGACUCCUACGGGAGGCAGCAGUGGGGAAUAUUGCGCAAUGGGCGGAAGCCUGACGCAGCGACGCCGCGUGGGG
This 376-nucleotide ribosomal RNA is filed under the name uncultured bacterium. Its description in RNAcentral is "bacterial SSU rRNA". It matches the Rfam family "Bacterial small subunit ribosomal RNA", at positions 28 to 406 of the family's 1533-position model. The record is from RNAcentral.